Cygnus atratus (black swan) is the source of this 860-nucleotide long non-coding RNA. RefSeq lists it as uncharacterized. NCBI's taxonomy places the organism in Eukaryota, Metazoa, Chordata, Aves, Anseriformes, Anatidae. The record is from RefSeq and is a predicted model, not a curated record. The transcript is spliced from 5 exons.
GCAAUAUGCUGGGUGCCUCCUAGAAAGGUGGUGCUUAAAGGGAAGGGCUGCUGAAGGCCAUGAGUGCAGUGCAGGUGAUGCUCAGCAUCUUGCAGGAUGAAUCCCCUUUGAAAUGAACAGACCCUCUCUAGACGGUGUCAUUUAUUUUAUCACAGCUUCCCAAAUAAACCAGUUCCCGGAGGAACCUCGUGUUAUUAAAGUGCUGAGAACAGCCCAUUUCUUGGAGGGGAAGGUCUCUGCAGGCUGCAGGCUUCAGCUGCUAAACCUGGAUAUCACCAGAAGUGCUGAGCUAAACUGAUGCGAUGACACAUUUGCCUGUGUGGCUUCCUGCAGAUGGCACAGAAAUUUUGUGAUCAAAUGUAGGGAACCUGUACCAGCCAGGAGGCUUAUCCCCGUGUGGCUUACAGCUCCGUGUUUAGCCUUGUCUGCUGGGAACCAGGCUUGAUCCACUGCCUCAUGCUGGAAGGGACUCAGGUCUAAACACUAGUCUAGCUGGUUUAACCGUGUGAUACCAUCUUUGCCAUGCAACAUGUGGGCUGGCUCCUCAUCUGGCUGCAGAGCCACGUCUCACAGGUCUCCGGUUCUCCGGCAAAACCACAGCUUGCAGGUGGAACUGUGCUCUUCAUCCCACCGCCACCUUUGCAACCUGCAGGAAGAGUUCAGGUCACACGCAGCACAAAUCCAGAUGGUCACCUGAACCCAGACGCUGCCACAGAAGUUGCUUUCUCUCAGAGGUGCUCCUUGGGAGGCUGUGUCAUGCCUCCCACCCCUCAGCAUCAACAAAUCAUCCCAACUGUCCCAGGGCCUAUACAUGCAACCAUCUGCCGAAGGGCCAACACAGUCAUAUCCCAAACGCAUGA